Molecule: transfer RNA, 61 nt
Filed under: Sagaminopteron nigropunctatum
Lineage: Eukaryota; Metazoa; Mollusca; Gastropoda; Cephalaspidea; Gastropteridae
Description: tRNA-Trp
Rfam family: tRNA
About the family: Transfer RNA (tRNA) molecules are approximately 80 nucleotides in length. Their secondary structure includes four short double-helical elements and three loops (D, anti-codon, and T loops).
Source: RNAcentral
AGGGUUAUAGGUUAAUAAAACCAUUGGCCUUCAAAGCCGAAAAUGAGAUUUUCUGACCCGG